Bombus pascuorum is the source of this 200-nucleotide long non-coding RNA. RefSeq lists it as uncharacterized. The record is from RefSeq and is a predicted model, not a curated record. NCBI's taxonomy places the organism in Eukaryota, Metazoa, Arthropoda, Insecta, Hymenoptera, Apidae. The transcript has 2 exons.
GCGUUACAAGAUUGUCCAUAAACAUUCAAGAAAUAUUUACAGUAAUACUAUUAAUUCCUUUAUCACUAAUAACAAUUUAAUCCUUUUAUUAAUAUAAUCUAACAUUAUAUAUACUAAUGAUGAUUAUAGCUUGUCUGACAAAGGCUUGACAUAAGCUAAAUAAAAACCACGAACGAAGAGCAUGAUAAGCAAAUUUAAAA